UACGUAGGGGGCAAGCGUUGUCCGGAUUUACUGGGUGUAAAGGGUGCUCAGGUGGACUUUUAAGUCAGAGGUGAAAUCCCAAAGCUUAACUUUGGAGCUGCCUUUGAUACUGAAAGUCUAGAGUUUGAGAGAGGGCAAUGGAAUAUCUGGUGUAGCAGUGAAAUGCGUAGAUAUCAGAUAGAACACCAAUGGCGAAGGCAGUUGCCUGGCUCAAAACUGACACUAAAGCACGAAAGCGUGGGGAGCGAACAGG
This 253-nucleotide ribosomal RNA is filed under the name uncultured bacterium. RNAcentral describes it as "partial 16S ribosomal RNA". It matches the Rfam family "Bacterial small subunit ribosomal RNA", at positions 524 to 776 of the family's 1533-position model. The record is from RNAcentral.